RNAcentral lists this ribosomal RNA (405 nucleotides) under uncultured bacterium. RNAcentral's name for it is "partial 16S ribosomal RNA". It matches the Rfam family "Bacterial small subunit ribosomal RNA", at positions 30 to 526 of the family's 1533-position model. The record is from RNAcentral.
AUUGAACGCUAGCGGGAUGCUUUACACAUGCAAGUCGAACGAGUGGCGGACGGGUGAGUAAUAUAUCGGAACGUGCCCCGUAGCGGGGGAUAACUACUCGCAAGAGUGGCUAAUCCCGCAUACUAUUGGAGCGCCCGAUAUCGGAGUAGCUAGUUGGUGGGGUAAAGGCUCACCAAGGCCACGAUCCUUAGUUGGUUUGAGAGGACGACCAGCCACACUGGGACGAAGACCCGGCCCAUACUCCUACGGGAGGCAGCAGUGGGGAAUUUUGGACGAUGGGGGAAACCCUGAUCUAGCCAUCCCGCGUGUAUGAGAAGGCCUUCGGGUUGUAAAGUAAUUUUGGCAGAGAAGCGGUAUCUGCAGAAUAAGCACCGGCUAACUACGUGCCAGCAGCCGCGGUAAUAC